AGUGGCGGACGGGUGAGUAACGCGUGAGAAUCUGCCUUGGGGUCGGGGACAACCACUGGAAACGGUGGCUAAUACCGGAUAAGCCGAUUGGUGAAAGAUUUAUUGCCCGAAGAGGAGCUCGCGUCUGAUUAGCUAGUUGGUGAGGUAAGAGCUCACCAAGGCAGCGAUCAGUAGCUGGUCUGAGAGGACGAUCAGCCACACUGGGACUGAGACACGGCCCAGACUCCUACGGGAGGCAGCAGUGGGGAAUUUUCCGCAAUGGGCGAAAGCCUGACGGAGCAAGACCGCGUGAGGGAGGAAGGCUCUUGGGUUGUAAACCUCUUUUCUCAGGGAAGAAGCUCUGACGGUACCUGAGGAAUCAGCCUCGGCUAACUCCGUGCCAGCAGCCGCGGUAAUACGGAGGAGGCAAGCGUUAUCCGGAAUUAUUGGGCGUAAAGCGUCCGCAGGUGGCGAUUCAAGUCUGCUGUCAAAGCACGGGGCUUAACUCCGUAAAGGCAGUGGAAACUGAAUAGCUAGAGUGCCGUAGGGGUAGAGGGAAUUCCCGGUGUAGCGGUGAAAUGCGUAGAGGUCGGGAAGAACAUCGGUGGCGAAAGCGCUCUACUGGACGGCAACUGACACUCAGGGACGAAAGCUAGGGGAGCGAAUGGGAUUAGAUACCCC
Molecule: ribosomal RNA, 660 nt
Filed under: uncultured bacterium
Lineage: Bacteria
Description: bacterial SSU rRNA
Rfam family: Bacterial small subunit ribosomal RNA
Source: RNAcentral